AUUGAACGCUGGCGGCAGGCUUAACACAUGCAAGUCGAGCGGGGUGAUGGUGCUUGCACUAUCACUUAGCGGCGGACGGGUGAGUAAUGCUUAGGAAUCUGCCUAUUAGUGGGGGACAACAUCUCGAAAGGGAUGCUAAUACCGCAUACGUCCUACGGGAGAAAGCAGGGGAUCACUUGUGACCUUGCGCUAAUAGAUGAGCCGAAGUCGGAUUAGCUAGUUGGUGGGGUAAAGGCCUACCGAGGCGACGAUCUGUAGCGGGUCUGAGAGGAUGAUCCGCCACACUGGGACUGAGACACGGCCCAGACUCCUACGGGAGGCAGCAGUGGGGAAUAUUGGACAAUGGGGGGAACCCUGAUCCAGCCAUGCCGCGUGUGUGAAGAAGGCCUUAUGGUUGUAAAGCACUUUAAGCGAGGAGGAGGCUCUUUUGGUUAAUACCCAAGAUGAGUGGACGUUACUCGCAGAAUAAGCACGGCUAACUCUGUGCCAGCCGCCGCAGUAA
RNAcentral lists this ribosomal RNA (502 nucleotides) under uncultured bacterium. RNAcentral's name for it is "partial 16S ribosomal RNA". It matches the Rfam family "Bacterial small subunit ribosomal RNA", at positions 30 to 523 of the family's 1533-position model. The record is from RNAcentral.